Molecule: long non-coding RNA, 858 nt
Filed under: Numida meleagris (helmeted guineafowl)
Lineage: Eukaryota; Metazoa; Chordata; Aves; Galliformes; Numididae
Description: lncRNA (ENSNMEG00000001035.1)
Source: RNAcentral
AGUCUUUAUUGGGGUGACACAACAGCCACAGCUCCGGGUGUUGGUGGGGAUGGUGACAGCUCCAGGUGUUGUUGGGGACAAUCACAGCUCCGGGUGUUGGCGGGGACGGUGACGGUGACAGCGCCGGGCGUUGGGGACAAUCACGGCUCCGGGUGUUGGUGGGGACGGUGACGGUGACAGCGUUGGGUGUUGGGGACGGUGAUGGUGACAGCACCGGGUGUUGGGGACAAUCACGGCUCCAGGUGUUGGUGGGGACAGUGACAGCUCCGGGUGUUGGUGGGGACGGUGACGGUGACAGCGUUGUGUCUUGGGGACAAUCACAGCUCCAGGUGUUGGUGGGGACGGUGACAGUGACAGCGCCGGGUGUUGGGGACGGUGACAACAGUGGGGACAACUCCAGGUGUUGGGGACAAGUCCGGGUGUUGGUGACGGUGACAACACUGGGGACAACUCCAGGUGUUGGGGACAAGUCUGGGUGUUGGUGACAGUGACAACACUGGGGAUGGCUUAUGGUGACAGUGACGGUGCCAACACUGGGGACAACUCCGGGUGUUGGGGACAAGUCCUGGUGUUGGUGACGGUGACAAGACUGGGGAUGGCUCCGGGUGUUGGGGACAACUCCGGGUGUUGGUGACGGUGACGACACUGGGGAUGGCUCCAGGUGUUGGUGACGGUGACAACACUGGGGACAACUCCAGGUGUUGGGGACAAAUCCGGAUGUUGGUGACGGUGACGACACUGGGGACGGCUCCGGGUGUUGGCAAGAGCUCUGGGUGUUGGGGACGGCUCCGAGUGUUGGUGACGGUGACAGCGCUGGGGACGGCUCCGGGUGUUGGGGACGGUGACAACACUGGGGAC